RNAcentral lists this ribosomal RNA (219 nucleotides) under uncultured bacterium. Its description in RNAcentral is "partial 16S ribosomal RNA". It matches the Rfam family "Bacterial small subunit ribosomal RNA", at positions 328 to 539 of the family's 1533-position model. The record is from RNAcentral.
ACGCUCGACACCUACAGGAGGCAGCAGUGAGGGAAUAUUGGUCAAUGGGCGCUAGCCUGAACCAGCCAAGUAGCGUGAAGGAUGAAGGCUCUAUGGGUCGUAAACUUCUUUUAUAUAAGAAUAAAGUGCAGUAUGUAUACUGUUUUGUAUGUAUUAUAUGAAUAAGGAUCGGCUAACUCCGUGCCAGCAGCCGCGGUAAUCUGAGCGGGCUGGCAAGGC